GACGUAGGGGCCGAGCGUUGUCCGGAGUUACUGGGCGUAAAGGGCGCGCAGGCGGUUGGUCACGUCGGCGGUGAAAGCCCCCCGCUCAACGGGGGAGGGGCCGUCGAGAUGGGCCGACUGGAGGCAGGGAGAGGGGGGUGGAAUUCCGGGUGUAGUGGUGAAAUGCGUAGAUAUCCGGAGGAACACCAGUGGCGAAGGCGGCCGCCUGGACCUGACCUGACGCUGAGGCGCGAAGGCGUGGGGAGCGAACGGG
RNAcentral lists this ribosomal RNA (253 nucleotides) under uncultured bacterium. RNAcentral's name for it is "partial 16S ribosomal RNA". It matches the Rfam family "Bacterial small subunit ribosomal RNA", at positions 524 to 776 of the family's 1533-position model. The record is from RNAcentral.